RNAcentral lists this long non-coding RNA (578 nucleotides) under Marmota monax (woodchuck). Lineage: Eukaryota; Metazoa; Chordata; Mammalia; Rodentia; Sciuridae. The record is from RNAcentral.
GUAAGAAUAUUUUUAUCUUGAUGCAGGGUAUUGCCGCAGUCUGGCUGGGCACAAAUCAUGAGCCACUCAAGCAGGAACAAACUUUAUUUCCGAACUCCCCCGAAUGCCACCCACGUGGUCCUUCCAGCGACACCACACACCAACCAGAACUCCCUCCACCGAACUUCACCAACCAACUCGAACUCUCCAGGAAUCCCCAUGAGAGCUCAACCAGAACUCAACUCAACGGGAACUCCGAGAGAACUCAAAAGUAGCGGGAGCCUGAGGCAGCAGGAGCCGCCCUAUUGCCGGACAGCAGGGGUCUAAUAUACAACUGAAUACACAGCCUGUUUCAAUCCAGCAUCAUUCAGUCACAGCAAUUAUACACAGCUUAAUUUAAUUAUCAUCAUCUUAAUGGCUCGCUGGCAUCACCUCUCAACCACUCUUUCUGGCAAAAAUGCCAGGCGUUAUCCCGACUCAGCUGUGGCUCUCAACAGGGUAUUAAUGUUAGAACAAAAUAUAUUCUUACUCUGCUUCACUCUGAAGUAAAUAGUUAAUACAUUGUCCAAAUACUCUUGGGGUUUCAAUUUUCAAAAUCA